RNA transcript from Fundulus heteroclitus (mummichog), 930 nucleotides. RefSeq lists it as uncharacterized. The record is from RefSeq and is a predicted model, not a curated record. Lineage: Eukaryota; Metazoa; Chordata; Actinopteri; Cyprinodontiformes; Fundulidae. The transcript has 5 exons.
UAGAAGUGCAGUAAUGUCACCUCUAACGGAAAAUAAGAUUUUUAUUUUUCGUAAUUUUAAAAAGUUGAUGUUCGCUAUGUUACUAUUUUGUGAUUCAUCAACUGGAUCUCCUGUUACAGUGGAUCCCAUUUUUUUUUUACCCAUAGCAGGUUUUUUCAUGCCAUCUCCUGGCAUCAAAUCAAACUGCAGUGAUCCUUUAAUUUUUACUAGAGAAGAUUUGUCUUCCGGACAUCCCCUAAAUGUUUCAUGCCAUUCUGGGGAGAAUUUGACUGUUGUCGUCAAAGAAGAUUUAAAAAACUGUACCAUACGUCUUAGGAAAAACACCUCAAUUGAACCUUUGGCCCUGUGCCGAGAGGGUCAUCCAGAAACAGACCGGGAUGCAACGUUUAAGGAUCGAGUGAAUAUGACGGCCUGCGAUGACAUGUCUGUCGGCUGGAACGUGACUUUGAGGAAUUUGACGAAGAACGAUAGUGGACCUUACAUCUUGAAGUUCGAUAAUCAGUUUAAUGUUGACUGUGAUCCCAAAUCUAAUGAAAUCAAUUUAAAUGUCACAGAUGCAACGAAUGAAAACCAUCAACCCAAAACCGUUGCUGUUGCUCUUUCUGUUCUUGUUCUUGUGCUUGGCAUUGUUCUAAUUAUAUUUUGUGUUUCUAAGAAAACAUUUUUUUUAGAAAAACUCAACAUAAAAAAACCCUACCAAGAAGUUAGAACAAUCCAGUUAAAUCAGCUAGCAGACUGCUAAAGAGAGCAUGAACAAUUUAUUUUUUUUUAAAGUUUGCCCAGAUGAGGGAGAUCUUGCUUUAGUCAUCUUGUAGCAACAGAGGAAAGGAUGAUAACAUGUUAUGAAUUAUCUGAUGGUAUAGAUCACUGACUGUGAACUUUGAGUGUUUGCCUCAUUGCUGGAGAUUAAACUCAUCUGUGAUAAGAAAA